GACGAACGCUGGCGGCGUGCUUAACACAUGCAAGUCGAACGGAAAGGCCCUGCUUUUGUGGGGUGCUCGAGUGGCGAACGGGUGAGUAACACGUGAGUAACCUGCCCUUGACUUUGGGAUAACUUCAGGAAACUGGGGCUAAUACCGGAUAGGAGCUCCUGCUGCAUGGUGGGGGUUGGAAAGUUUCGGCGGUUGGGGAUGGACUCGCGGCUUAUCAGCUUGUUGGUGGGGUAGUGGCUUACCAAGGCUUUGACGGGUAGCCGGCCUGAGAGGGUGACCGGCCACAUUGGGAUUGAGAUACGGCCCAGACUCCUACGGGAGGCAGCAGUGGGGAAUAUUGCACAAUGGGCGGAAGCCUGAUGCAGCAACGCCACGUGCGGGAUGACGGCCUUCGGGUUGUAAACCGCUUUCGCCUGUGACGAAGCGUGAGUGACGGUAAUGGGUAAAGAAGCACCGGCUAACUACGUG
This 468-nucleotide ribosomal RNA is filed under the name uncultured bacterium. RNAcentral describes it as "partial 16S ribosomal RNA". It matches the Rfam family "Bacterial small subunit ribosomal RNA", at positions 28 to 507 of the family's 1533-position model. The record is from RNAcentral.